Molecule: non-coding RNA, 96 nt
Filed under: uncultured Faecalimonas sp.
Lineage: Bacteria; Bacillati; Bacillota; Clostridia; Lachnospirales; Lachnospiraceae
Source: RNAcentral
AAAAGGGGAGCUGGUAAUGGAGCCGGCUGAGAUGGGGUGUCUUCACUCCGAACCCGGGAACCUGAUCUGGAUAAUGCCAGCGUAGGAAGCAUACAU